GUUAUAAAGCAGGUAUGUUUAUUUGGCUGGCCGGGUGCAAGGGGGAUCACUCCACCAAACUUGCACACCAGCGAGCAAAAAGCGCUACGGAUUUGUAAGCCAAAGCCAUACAUAUUCAGCAGAAUUCUUGGAAGUCAUCUACAUAUUCAUUAUCCUUCCGGAAAUUCAUUUACAUACUGCCCCUCCCCCGGCGCACGCGCUGUCCUUAAGAGGGGUCUCCCUCUGGUGGUCGUGGGGAUGAAGUCAGAAGUGUUCCUCGCGAAGGCUUCACGUCUUCCUCGGUCUGACCUUCUUACGGUGCAUUCAAACCAGUCAAAGCCAUUCCUUUUGCAUCGUUUCCUUUCUUUGUGUUUGCACAGCUGACCAUGAAAUGUUGAGAUGUCGUUCUCCUUCCCUGGUUUCUAAAGCUAGCUUAUUUAACCCCUAUGUGUUCAAACCCCAGACCCACCUGAGCUCCUGAUCUCACCCCCAUCCACCCAACCUGUGAUGCCAUCACAGAAGGCCACCAGGUUGGCCGAGCGCUAUUUCCUCUUGGUGAACCCACGCUGACCAUUCCUCAUAUCCUUCUUCUCUUCCAAUUGCUUGGAGAUGGCAUCCAGAAUCAGCUGUUCCAUCACCUUCCCAGGGACAGAGGUGAGACUGACUGGCCUGUAGUUUCCCAGACCCUCCUCCUUGCCCUUUCUGAACACCAGAGGGACACUGGCUAUCCUCCAGUCUUCAGGCACCUCUCCUGUUUUCCAGGGCCUAUCGAAGACGACAGAGAGCAGUUCAGCAGUCACCUCUGCCAGCUCCCUCAGCACACGUGGAUGCAUCCCAUCGGGACCCAUGGAUUUGUGCUGAUCCCACACUGAUCCCACCCAGACUCUUCUGGACCAUCCCCUCCUCAACCAGAGGGGAAGUUCUGCUACGUUAUAGAUGAGUAUACGCAUGGAUACUUUGCUGUGAGGUCACUUGUGCAAGCAGAACUCACCACCUUGUACCAAACAUGUGGCUGAGAUGCUGUUUGAGAGGUUAUUUCUGUCUCUGGAAGUGACAGACCUGCAGCAGGAACAAGGCUGGCAAAGGGCCUUGGAAGACAUUCUUUCUGUAGUAGCCAAUACGACAGCCUUUAAUUCCGGGCUGAGCUCUGUACCUUUAGGAAUGCAGCUCAUGGUCAUCCCCGUGUGUCUGGUAAGCCAGCAGAAGGCACCCGCUUGGCAGGUGGAUUGAGAGAUCCCUUCUGCCUGGGAAGCUGAUUGCCUGCAUACAGGAAGAGGCCUUGGGUAUGGGUUUUCACAUCCCCCGAACAUUAGCACAUGAUGGGUGCAUAACACGGACGUGUCUACCUGCAAGGUCAGCAUCAGGCAUGUGACUUGAAAGGUCACGGUGAGAUUUCAUCUGUGUGGCGUGCUGGAAGGCCAAAAGGAGCUGAUGGAUCUACCCUGGAGGGUAGAUGGUGAGAGGAUGGCACUUUCCGUCUACCUGAACUGGUGGAAGACAUUUGAUACUGCCCUGUAUGAGACCCUUCCCUCUGAAGAGAGAGGGGUGAGGCGUGAAUUGAUGGAUGGACCACUCACUGUAUGUCGAAUUGGAUGGAUGGUCACAGCCAGAGUUGUGGUCAACCGCUCAGUGGCUGUGUGGAUACAAUGGUAUUUUUCAGGAGUCUGCAAGUGCUGCUGGGCUUGGGGCUCGGGUUCUGUUCAGCAUAUGGUGUGACAGAGCAGCCCGACCCCAGCCCGGGGGUGGGCACGCACUGCUGGGGAGCCCGCGUGCUGACAGAGGCCGGCACCCUCCAAGCAGGCCUUGUUCCCUACAGGCAGCAGCAUCAGCUGGAGCUGGAGGCAGCCCACGUGCCUGGGGCUGUGCUGCCGGAGCUGGUGGAGGCAGAGCUGGUAAGGGGCAGAGCCCAGCGCACCCUCACCCUGUCCGACAAGGUUCUCCUCGGGGACAGGGCUCCCUGCAGUGCUGGGGCUGCCACUGUCCUGCACGAGCUCCGGCUGUGCAGCAGGGCCUGACCAGCGCCCCUGCCCCAUCUUCACCUACAGGAGAAGAAGGAGCAGGCGAGGAGACGAGGGCUCGCCUUCUGGAUGAAGACAAUCUGCCUCAUCUUCGUCAGCCUCCUGCUGCUGCUCGUUGCCGUGCUGGGCUCUGCAGUGCUGUACGCCCAGCACUAUGACCAGGAGCUGUUGUAUCGGCUCCUGCUGCGAGUGCUGCCCCAGGCAAUGUACGCUUCCCCGGCGUACUUUGCGAGCAGGAGCCUGCGUGUCGUCUGUGAUGGGCUGCUGCCCAUCUGACCGCCCCUCUCAGUCCCCCCUCCCAGCUCGGGGCUGCGCAGUGGUGGGGUGCAGGGAGAGAGCUCUGUCCCCACGGAAGGGGCCUCUCCUGUGCUCCUGCCCCCAGGGGCGCACAGGCACAGCUGUGGGGCAGUGCCGGCAGGCGGCUGAGUGCCACCACUUUGGACUUACAAAUAAGUUGGUACUGUCGUCGUCAACUGAACACCACCACCUCCGACGACCCAUCAGACUGAAGAUGUGCACCUGACGCCAGGACGUGGCUUCUUGGAUUCUUUGAGUCUUCGUAGCAAUUUCCUUCAGCUGGUUACCUGUAAGGCUUAUGAAUUGUAAUUAGCCCAU
Molecule: long non-coding RNA, 2612 nt
Organism: Gallus gallus (chicken)
Lineage: Eukaryota; Metazoa; Chordata; Aves; Galliformes; Phasianidae
Source: Ensembl